Molecule: long non-coding RNA, 263 nt
Organism: Hippopotamus amphibius kiboko
Lineage: Eukaryota; Metazoa; Chordata; Mammalia; Artiodactyla; Hippopotamidae
Exons: 3
Source: RefSeq, a predicted model, not a curated record
AAACCACCUAUUUUUCUCAUAAUAGGGUUCUGGAGUUCUCUUUGGCAGAGCACGUGGAACACAAGAAUCAUCUUGCAAAUGGAUCAUAAAGGCCUGACAGAGCUCCAGGGGAGCUUUACACUGAGGAAAAGGUGGCCAAUAGGCACAUGAAAAGAUACUCAACAUCACUAAUCAUGAGAGAAAUGCAACGCAAAACUACAAUGAGGUACCACCUCACAUGGGUCAGAAUGGCCAUCCUUAAAAAGUCUACAAAUAACAAAUGC